RNAcentral lists this long non-coding RNA (309 nucleotides) under Lupinus angustifolius (narrow-leaved blue lupine). Its description in RNAcentral is "long non-coding RNA (LANG_LNC002037)". The record is from RNAcentral. Lineage: Eukaryota; Viridiplantae; Streptophyta; Magnoliopsida; Fabales; Fabaceae.
UCAUGCACAAAGUUCUUAUAAAACCCAAAAUCACAAAACGUUAUUAGAAAUUAAACAAGAAACAAAUGUUGAGAGAUGAAUUUGACAACCAACAUGUUACAAAAUUAAAAAAAAUUAUAUAAUACAACAAAAUAAUCAAGUUUUUAUGUGCUAUGCCCAUCUCCAUUUGGAAGCAUCACUAUAACUACCUAGACAAAUAUGCAGAUUACAUAUGGAAUUUGGAAAUAUGCAGAUUACUGCAGUAGCAAGCAAUAAACAACCCUUAACCAUUAGUUAGUUUAAGCUCUCCCUACUUUCUCCACAUCUCCC